UACGUAGGUGGCAAGCGUUAUCCGGAUUUAUUGGGCGUAAAGGGAACGCAGGCGGUCUUUUAAGUCUGAUGUGAAAGCUUUCGGCUUAACCGGAGUAGUGCAUUGGAAACUGGGAGACUUGAGUGCAGAAGAGGAGAGUGGAACUCCAUGUGUAGCGGUGAAAUGCGUAGAUAUAUGGAAGAACGCCAGUGGCGAAAGCGGCUCUCUGGUCUGUAACUGACGCUGAGGUUCGAAAGCGUGGGUAGCAAACAGG
This 253-nucleotide ribosomal RNA is filed under the name uncultured bacterium. Its description in RNAcentral is "partial 16S ribosomal RNA". It matches the Rfam family "Bacterial small subunit ribosomal RNA", at positions 524 to 776 of the family's 1533-position model. The record is from RNAcentral.